UACGUAGGUCCCAAGCGUUGUCCGGAUUUAUUGGGCGUAAAGCGUGCGCAGGUGGUUUCUUAGGUCUGAUGUAAAAGACAGUGGCUCAACCCUUGUGUGCAUUGGAAACUGGGAGACUUGAGUGCAGGAGAGGAGAGUGGAAUUCCAUGUGUAGCGGUGAAAUGCGUAGAUAUAUGGAGGAACACCGGAGGCGAAAGCGGCUCUCUGGCCCGUAACUGACACUGAGGCUCGAAAGCGUGGGGAGCAAACAGG
Molecule: ribosomal RNA, 252 nt
Filed under: uncultured bacterium
Lineage: Bacteria
Description: partial 16S ribosomal RNA
Rfam family: Bacterial small subunit ribosomal RNA
Source: RNAcentral